AAAAAUUUCUGGGCUGAAUGAGAGGCACUGACACUUGGAACAACUGGUCCUUUUCUAGUCACGUCUCUUAAACGUGUACAGGAAUGGGGAUUCCAUCACUUCUUUGGGCAGUAACAUGGUGAUACAGACAUACAUGAUCUCACAACUGAACAGAAAAAUGUCAGAUUGGUGCACUUGUCCUCUACAGGAAAGUGUUGAAGAUAUGUUGUGAAAUUUCACACCCUAACUCUAAAACUGAUAUAAAGACUUCCAGGUAAAAACAUCCAGCAGUUUAUUCCUAUGUAAAGCACCCCCACAGCCCUGUGUUUCCCAGGCUACUUCAUCAGAAAGGAAUUUGAGAAGACAGGGCGCACUGGCUCAGCCAGGGUACAACCAGACCAAAGAAAAAAUGGAAGAUGUAUGACUCAGAAGCAGCAGCUGUUAAAGAUUUAACUUGUGAAGAAAUGAAACUAGGACAGAUAAAAGGAAACGUGGAAGCUUCUUUGUUACCUAUUUCAUGGGUGUCAGAUAUUAAAUCUAUAACUACUCUAAAUAAAGGACACAAUAUUGAUGCAAUAAGACUAGCUUAUCAAUAUGCAUUUGGAUUUGAUUAGGGACAUCAAUAAAAAGAACAUGUUGCGAAAGGCCACCAGAUGCCUUGAGGCAAAUAAAAAUCUCAAAUGCCAUCUUCACAGAUGAGACAACAGCUCCAAUAUUAUGCACUUCCUAUGGAUGGUAAAAGGUCCUUAAAGCUCUGAUCUAUAUGCUUCCUGUAAACUCACAUGUUGGGAGAGUUUGAAAAGAGUAAAAAGCUGUAUUAAUAUCUUUGAAUAUGGAGUGGCUUCCUCUGUGAUUUGCGUUAUGAUUGUAACUCUCUGCAGCCCAAUGAAGACAGUUUGUGCAGAAGACUUUUUAUACAUAUUUCAGAUGUGUUGAUCUGAUAGCAUGCAACAUGUGGGCAAAUAUGGUGUUAUAAUGGUUAUAAUAACCAUUUCUAAUGAAGUAACCUUUCCUUAUAGCUUUGAAGUCGAUGACCCAAAGUUUAAUGGGAUUGUUAUAUUCAACGAAGCUCAAAGAAUUAUACAGGAAAUGUAACACAUGAACAGAGAGCAUUAGUGCAGAAAAUCCAACUAUUCUAAAAGUAUGUAGAAACUUUCAACCAAGAAAGGAUCCACAUUAUACUGUUUGACACUAAAUUCUUGGACCAGAUCCCUAUCUGUUGGUAUCCAAUAAAAUUCCAAUUUAUAAUGAGAUAAGGCAGUUUGUUGUUCCCUUCUACAAGUCAUUAGCAGUAAACAUCAUGUAAAUUAAAAAGAAUAAGAAAUAGGAUCAACCACAGGCCAAAGCAGAGGCCUACAAAAUGCUUAAAGUCUGUGUAUAAGUGUGAAUAAAUAAAUUUGCAGCUCAAGAACUAGUGCUCACUUGCAUUUCUAGAAUAAUAACACUUUCCUGGAUAAAACUGAAUGAAUAAUCAAUUAUCUUUAAAAAGGAAUGCCUGUCUUACCUAGUAAAAGGCUACAAGCAGAACAUUGCCAAAUAAGAGUUUUCAUCCAUCUUUUUCUCUUUUGACUAUUUUAGAUUUUUUUACUGAUAGUCUUUUCAGUUCCAGUAAGAAUUUGGCCUGAAUCUCUUCAAUUUGCAAAUGAUAUUUUCUUAGAUUGAGGGGCUGCCUUUCACAUAGUAACAGUAAGUACUUUAGAGCCACAUCUUCAGAUUUUACCUGUAUUUCUUCUGGAGGCAAGGGUGGAGCACAAGUGCUGCAAAGGUAUUUGCCAUCCAUUGAAGCAGAAACUCUGAAGUCCCUUAAGCAGCCAGCUGGAUAGUAGGAGGUGGAGAAGGUGAUAAAGGCCUGUCACUCAGCUGCAGUGUUUGCAUUCCCAAGGCAAUUUCCCAAACAGCAAAGCACAAAAACUGCAGAGUUAAUAGUACCUGUGUAGGGUAAAGAAGAAUGGAUGAAGUAUUACAAUAUUUAGG
Molecule: long non-coding RNA, 1953 nt
Organism: Gallus gallus (chicken)
Lineage: Eukaryota; Metazoa; Chordata; Aves; Galliformes; Phasianidae
Source: Ensembl